RNAcentral lists this ribosomal RNA (460 nucleotides) under uncultured bacterium. RNAcentral's name for it is "partial 16S ribosomal RNA". It matches the Rfam family "Bacterial small subunit ribosomal RNA", at positions 338 to 795 of the family's 1533-position model. The record is from RNAcentral.
CCUACGGGUGGCAGCAGUGAGGAAUAUUGGUCAAUGGACGAGAGUCUGAACCAGCCAAGUAGCGUGAAGGAUGACUGCCCUAUGGGUUGUAAACUUCUUUUAUAUGGGAAUAAAAUGUUCCACGUGUGGGAUUUUGUAUGUACCAUAUGACUAAGGAUCGGCUAACUCCGUGCCAGCAGCCGCGGUAAUACGGAGGAUCCGAGCGUUAUCCGGAUUUAUUGGGUUUAAAGGGAGCGUAGGUGGAUUGUUAAGGCAGUUGUGAAAGUUUGCGGCUCAACCGUAAAAUUGCAGUUGAAACUGGCAGUCUUGAGUACAGGAGAGGUGGGCGGAAUUCGUGGUGUAGCGGUGAAAUGCUUAGAUAUCACGAAGAACUCCGAUUGCGAAGGCAGUUCACUGGACUGCAACUGACACUGAGGCUCGAAAGUGUGGGUAUCAAACAGGAUUAGAUACCCUGGUAGUC